Molecule: ribosomal RNA, 253 nt
Filed under: uncultured bacterium
Lineage: Bacteria
Description: partial 16S ribosomal RNA
Rfam family: Bacterial small subunit ribosomal RNA
Source: RNAcentral
UACGUAGGUGGCAAGCGUUAUCCGGAUUCACUGGGUUUAAAGGGUGCGUAGGUGGGUUGGUAAGUCAGUGGUGAAAUCCCCGAGCUUAACUUGGGAACUGCCAUUGAUACUAUCAGUCUUGAAUACCGUGGAGGUCAGCGGAAUAUGUCAUGUAGCGGUGAAAUGCUUAGAUAUGACAUAGAACACCAAUUGCGAAGGCAGCUGGCUACACGGAUAUUGACACUGAGGCACGAAAGCGUGGGGAUCAAACAGG